RNAcentral lists this ribosomal RNA (521 nucleotides) under uncultured bacterium. RNAcentral's name for it is "bacterial SSU rRNA". It matches the Rfam family "Bacterial small subunit ribosomal RNA", at positions 8 to 518 of the family's 1533-position model. The record is from RNAcentral.
AGAGUUUGAUUAUGGCUCAGGAUGAACGCUAGCGACAGGCUUAACACAUGCAAGUCGAGGGGCAUCACGGGAGUAGCAAUACAACUGGGUGGCGACCGGCGCACGGGUGAGUAACGCGUAUGCAACCUACCUAUCAGAGGGGAAUAACCCGGCGAAAGUCGGACUAAUACCGCAUAAAACAGGGGCACCGCAUGGUGAUAUUUGUUAAAGAAAUUCGCUGAUAGAUGGGCAUGCGUUCCAUUAGGUAGUUGGUGAGGUAACGGCUCACCAAGCCGACGAUGGAUAGGGGAACUGAGAGGUUGGUCCCCCACACUGGUACUGAGACACGGACCAGACUCCUACGGGAGGCAGCAGUGAGGAAUAUUGGUCAAUGGGCGGGAGCCUGAACCAGCCAAGUCGCGUGAAAGGAAGAAGGAUCUAUGGUUCGUAAACUUCUUUUGCAGGGGAAUAAAGUGCAGGACGUGUCCUGUUUUGUAUGUACCCUGAGAAUAAGGAUCGGCUAACUCCGUGCCAGCCGCUGC